This 21-nucleotide microRNA is filed under the name Ateles geoffroyi (black-handed spider monkey). Its description in RNAcentral is "age-miR-506". Its record names the gene age-miR-506. The record is from miRBase by way of RNAcentral. Lineage: Eukaryota; Metazoa; Chordata; Mammalia; Primates; Atelidae.
AAUGGCGCCCUUCUGAGUAGA